UGAGCAAUCUGCCCUUCUCUUCGGAAUAAGCGUUGGAAACGACGUCUAAUGCCGAAUACGACCUCCUUUCGCAUGAUCGGAGGUGGAAAGCUCCGGCGGAGAAGGAUGAGCUCGCGGCCUAUCAGCUAGUUGGUGUGGGUAAUGGCCCACCAAGGCGACGACGGGUAGCCGGCCUGAGAGGGUGACCCGGCCACACUGGGACUGAGACACGGCCCAGACCUCCCGUACGGGAGGNAGCG
Molecule: ribosomal RNA, 239 nt
Filed under: uncultured bacterium
Lineage: Bacteria
Description: partial 16S ribosomal RNA
Rfam family: Bacterial small subunit ribosomal RNA
Source: RNAcentral